CCCCUAGACGUUCUGGGCUGCACGCGCGCUACAAUAAUACGCACAGCGAGUAUCACCGAGCUCGAAAGGGCAAGGUAAACAAUAGAAAAGGUACUGUAAUGGUUAUAGAUCCUUGUAAUUAUUGAUCUUCAACGAGGAAUUCCUAGUAAGUAUGUGUCAUCAUCCCGCACUGAUUACGUCCCUGCCCUUUGUACACACCGCCCGUCGCUCCUACCGAUUGAGUGAGCCGAUGAAACUGCCGGAUGUGGACUAUUCAUAGUCUGCAGAAGAUAUUUGAAUCGUAGCGCUUAGAGGAAGGAGAAGUCGUAACA
Molecule: ribosomal RNA, 311 nt
Filed under: uncultured eukaryote
Lineage: Eukaryota
Description: partial 18S ribosomal RNA
Rfam family: Eukaryotic small subunit ribosomal RNA
Source: RNAcentral